Molecule: ribosomal RNA, 496 nt
Filed under: uncultured bacterium
Lineage: Bacteria
Description: partial 16S ribosomal RNA
Rfam family: Bacterial small subunit ribosomal RNA
Source: RNAcentral
GAUGAACGCUGGCGGCGUGCCUAAUACAUGCAAGUCGAGCGAACAGAUGAGGAGCUUGCUCCUCUGACGUUAGCGGCGGACGGGUGAGUAACACGUGGAUAACCUACCUAUAAGACUGGGAUAACUUCGGGAAACCGGAGCUAAUACCGGAUAAUAUAUUGAACCGCAUGGUUCAAUAGUGAAAGACGGUUUUGCUGUCACUUAUAGAUGGAUCCGCGCCGCAUUAGCUAGUUGGUAAGGUAACGGCUUACCAAGGCAACGAUGCGUAGCCGACCUGAGAGGGUGAUCGGCCACAGUGAAACUGAGACACGGCCCAGACACCGAGGGGAGGCAGCAGUAGGGAAUCUUCCGAAAUGGGCGAAAGCUUGCAGGAGCAACGCAGCGUGGGUGAUGAAGGUCUGCGGAUCGUAAAACUGUGUUAUUGGGGAAGACCAAAUGUGUAAGUAACGAUGCACGUCUGGAGGUUACCUAAUAAGAAGGCCACGGCUAACACGGU